RNAcentral lists this ribosomal RNA (500 nucleotides) under uncultured bacterium. RNAcentral describes it as "partial 16S ribosomal RNA". It matches the Rfam family "Bacterial small subunit ribosomal RNA", at positions 30 to 523 of the family's 1533-position model. The record is from RNAcentral.
AUUGAACGCUGGCGGCAUGCCUUACACAUGCAAGUCGAACGGUAACGGGUCCUUCGGGAUGCCGACGAGUGGCGAACGGGUGAGUAAUAUAUCGGAACGUGCCCAGUAGUGGGGGAUAACUGCUCGAAAGAGCAGCUAAUACCUCAUACGACCUGAGGGUGAAAGGGGGGGAUCGCAAGACCUCUCGCUAUUGGAGCGGCCGAUAUCAGAUUAGCUAGUUGGUGGGGUAAAGGCCUACCAAGGCAACGAUCUGUAGUUGGUCUGAGAGGACGACCAUCCAGACUGGGACUUGGUCACGGCCCAGACUCCUACGGGAGGAAGCAGUGGGGAAUUUUGGACAAUGGGCGCAAGCCUGAUCCAGCAAUGCCGCGUGCAGGAAGAGGGCCUUCGGGUUGUAAACUGCUUUUGUCAGGGAAGAAAUCUUCUGGGCUAAUACCCCGGGAGGAUGACGGUACCUGAAGAAUAAGCACCGGCUAACUACGUGCCAGCCGCCGCUGUAA